UCAGUACAUAGUUCAUCAAUCAUUAGUCAUCACAAAACAGCAACACACAUCAGUCCAUUAGUACAGUACUUAGUUCAAUCAUAAAAUAGCUACUUGCAUUUGAUGAUUCCAUCAUAAAUCUGCAGCACAAAAGAAAUCAAAUCAAUGGUUUAGACUCGUCGGCUCGUCGCUGGGCUGCUGGCUGCUGCCGCUGGGCUGCUGGCUGCUGUCGAGUCGCAGAGGCGAGGCGUCGUCGGCUCAUCGGUGUGGCUGUGGCGUCGUCGUCAGUGGUGGUAGCGGCGGCGAAACGGCGGGACGGCGCUGCCGCCGCGAGACGGCGCCACGAAACGGCUGGACAGCGCCGCGAGAUGGCGGCGGUACGAGACAGCGAAGAUGGUGGGGGCGAGGUCGCGAGGAGCCGAGGACGGCGGACCAGCGGUGGCGCGGGGCGCUGGCGGUGGGUGGAGCGUGAUGCUCCGCCACCGCUCGCGCUACACUUACGGGCUGAGCCGAAGAGAGGUAGGCUAGGCACAGGACUGUUCGAGCUGGGCCUACAGCUUCACUUGCGGGCUGAGCCAAAGAGAGGUAGGGCAGGCACAGGACUGUUUGAGCUGGUCAAUUACCGGAUUUGGUGGGAGGAUCGGCUCCGUCAUGCGGGCACGAGACUGUUCGAGAUGUUACGGGCUGAGCCGAAGAGAAGGCCAGGCACAGGACUGUUCGAGCUGGGCCUACAGCUCCACUUGAGGGCUGAGCCAAAGAGAGGUAGGCCAGGCACAGGACUGUUCGAGCUGGGCCUACAGCUUCACUUGUGGGCUGAGCCGAAGGGAGAUAGGCCAAGCAAAGGACUGUUCGAGCUGGGCCUACAGCUCCACUUGUGGGCUGAGCCGAAGAGAGAGGCCAAGCAGAUAGAGGCAGCGGACUGCUCUAGGACUAAAUCUGAAAAUGAGGGAAAGAAUGAACGUUCGGUCCAAAAACAAGAAAGCAUUCGGUCUAAAAACAAUGGAGUAUAAUGUAUAGUAU
This 999-nucleotide long non-coding RNA is filed under the name Oryza sativa Indica Group (long-grained rice). RNAcentral's name for it is "lncRNA OsZS97_12G004970". The record is from RNAcentral. Lineage: Eukaryota; Viridiplantae; Streptophyta; Magnoliopsida; Poales; Poaceae.